This 83-nucleotide transfer RNA is filed under the name Cyanobacteria bacterium UBA8530. Its description in RNAcentral is "tRNA-Leu". It matches the Rfam family "tRNA". From Rfam's summary of the family: Transfer RNA (tRNA) molecules are approximately 80 nucleotides in length. Their secondary structure includes four short double-helical elements and three loops (D, anti-codon, and T loops). The record is from RNAcentral. Lineage: Bacteria; Bacillati; Cyanobacteriota.
GCCGGUGUGGCGAAAUGGCAGACGCAGCAGACUCAAAAUCUGCCGUACUUCGGUACGUGUCGGUUCGAGUCCGACCACCGGCA